This 287-nucleotide small RNA is filed under the name Arabidopsis thaliana (thale cress). Its description in RNAcentral is "ATSL001380". Lineage: Eukaryota; Viridiplantae; Streptophyta; Magnoliopsida; Brassicales; Brassicaceae. The record is from RNAcentral.
UAAGGGGGUCGUAAAGUUAAAAUAAACAAAAUGCGCGGCUUGAAAAUAAUAUAAAGCAGAGUUUUAGUGGCGAAAUCCAAUCCAAGUCAAUUAUAAGAGCAUCUCCAUGAGUAGUCUCUCACAUAGUUUUUCAUUAACUAAAAAAUAUAAAAUAAUAAUAAAGUAGGAGAGAGAUAUGAGAGAGAUUGAGAAUAGUUUCUCUGCAGAGAAACUUUAGAAUAAUGAUUGAGAGACUAUGUGUAUAUAUGUGUGUUUAUUAUUGGACAUAAACUAAAUCAUAGUAAAAU